CAGUGAGCAGAGUUGAAAUCCAAGCCACAUUGUGUCAACCGGUUGAAUUUCAUCAAUACCAUUAUUAGUGACUUACACAUAAUAUUUUGAACAUAUUUUGGAUGUUACUGUGCGUCGGUAUCCUCGUUGUUGCUCAGAUGAACUGCGCCUUAACGCUAUGCAUCUUCUCACACGUAAAUGCAAUGGGGGGAAGUACGAAUUUACGCCUGAAACAUUUGUACGGAAACUGGGGGGGAGAACCUGGUUAGCAGUGUGUUGUAUAUAAAGACGGGCAUAAUUCGCAAUAAUGUUGGGUGGCUGGCCACGGUCACCAGAUAUAUUUGGCGGAAGCAGCCUCGCGGAAAGUGAUCUCAUGCCGUCCCGAAGUUCACUUGGACGUGCUAAUGAACUGUUGGAACGUAUAAAUAAACGUUAUGUUUCAUUAAGUGAUGACGAUAUGAAAAAGUAUGGAGCUGAGUUCAGAACGGUUUUGGAUUGUAUCAUUCAGAAAAUGAAAGAAAAGGACAAGAAGUUUAAUGAGUGUUACCAGAGAAUAUUUUUUGCUGGUAGUUACUGGGAUGGGCUUAAAGUUGGGAAACCAACAGAAUUUGAUGUUGACAUUGUAAUAAAGCUGCCCUUCAUUCGUAAUCAGAUUCAGGUUGAGCCAUGUGAAAGUCCUGCAUUUGUUAAAGUUAAAGUGGGUACACGACAACCUAAUUUCAGGAAACAGAAAAGCCAAAAGAAGAAGCCUCCCAAACAACCACCAAAAGAACCACCAAACCAACCCAAUUUUGGCAAAAUGCUUCUCGAGUCAUUACUUGAUUAUCGACGAUACCUGACCCAGAGACCAUUGCGCACGUGGAUGGAAAGUGUGCUGCACCAGGCUCUUGGUUGUUUCCCACAGAAAGGUGAUUCAUGGGUGUUAUAUGAUGAAAAGCAGCCAGGAAGGCAGUACAUGGUUAAGGUGAAAAAAAGUGGACCUGCUCUUACCCUGAACAUUGUUUUACUUGAUGGCUUCAGAAUGGAUGUUGAUCUUGUUCCAGUGAUAGAACUUAGGUGCUGUGAACAUCUACCUUCUCAUUUUAAGUUACAGCAAUACAGUGAUAGGCAUAACACAUUUUUUAUAGUACCAAAGCCCAACAAGCGACUUCCAAAAGCUGACGAUUGUUGGAGGUUGGCAUUUCAUGAACAAGAAAGGGCUGUGCUAGCCACAUAUGGAGCUGGGAUGAUGAAACCAGUUUGCCGUCUUCUGAAGAAACUGAGAGACACAUUGGAUAUGCCAAUGCUUGCCAGUUAUUAUUUGAAGACCCUGGUAAUGAAGGUGAUUUCAGAGCAGGAAGACGACAAGUUUUUCCGCAACUCUUUAGUGAACCUCUUUGUGCAUAUGCUGGUAGUACUCAAACAUCAGCUAGGAUUAGGAAGGAUUAAUUACUUUUGGGAUGAAAACUACAAUCUUCUUGAAGGAUAUCACAGGGAAGCAGUGAGGCAUUGUUAUGGAAGAAUAAAAAAUGUUGUUGAAGACAUACAGAAAAAUAUUGAGAUGGAUCCAUUGGUACUUGCACGUAAUAUCUUAAAUAAUGAGGAAUUUCGGAGUCUGCCAUUAGAUAUAGUGGAGUACGCGUGAUAGAAGAACUUACUUGUUUCCUGGAACAAAAUCUAUGGAAUUCCAUUCUGAAAUAUUGAUGUGGACAGCUUCUGAAGACUUCUAUUAUAAUUUGCCAAAAUAAGUUAGUUGCAAAACCAAGUGAAAUGUGCAUUUUAUUUAUUUAUUUAUUCCACCGUCUUACAUAACAAUAAACAGAAUAUCUGUUGUGGCAGAUGAAAGAUGUCACUGAAUCAAAUGGAUUUGAUGGUUUUAUAAAGAAGUUUUUUUUCUGUACUCAGAUGAAAAUUGGUACUACCCCUAAAAGUACAAAGUUAAUUUAUUAUUUAUGUUUGUAAAUGUAGAAAAAGUCUUGUAUUUAUGAAAUUAUCAGCUGCAAUACUUUCAGAGUUAAAGUAACCUCAAAGUUUUAUUGAAUUUUGAGAGAUGCCUAUUUAUU
This is an RNA transcript of Schistocerca serialis cubense, 2021 nucleotides long. It is a transcript of the gene named cyclic GMP-AMP synthase-like receptor, with no coding region annotated. NCBI's taxonomy places the organism in Eukaryota, Metazoa, Arthropoda, Insecta, Orthoptera, Acrididae. The transcript is spliced from 13 exons. The record is from RefSeq and is a predicted model, not a curated record.